Molecule: ribosomal RNA, 253 nt
Filed under: uncultured bacterium
Lineage: Bacteria
Description: partial 16S ribosomal RNA
Rfam family: Bacterial small subunit ribosomal RNA
Source: RNAcentral
UACGUAGGUGGCUAGCGUUGUUCGGAAUUACUGGGCGUAAAGCGCGCGUAGGCGGACCUUCAAGUCGGGGGUGAAAGCCCGAGGCUCAACCUCGGAACUGCAUUCGAUACUGCGGGUCUCGAGUCCGGGAGAGGUGAGUGGAAUUCCUAGUGUAGAGGUGAAAUUCGUAGAUAUUAGGAAGAACACCAGUGGCGAAGGCGGCUCACUGGCCCGGUACUGACGCUGAGGCGCGAAAGCUAGGGGAGCAAACGGG